AGAGUUUGAUCCUGGCUCAGGAUGAACGCUGGCGGCGUGCCUAAUACAUGCAAGUCGAGCGAACGGACGAGAAGCUUGCUUCUCUGAUGUUAGCGGCGGACGGGUGAGUAACACGUGGAUAACCUACCUAUAAGACUGGGAUAACUUCGGGAAACCGGAGCUAAUACCGGAUAAUAUUUUGAACCGCAUGGUUCAAAAGUGAAAGGCGGUCUUGCUGUCACUUAUAGAUGGAUCCGCGCUGCAUUAGCUAGUUGGUAAGGUAACGGCUUACCAAGGCAACGAUGCAUAGCCGACCUGAGAGGGUGAUCGGCCACACUGGAACUGAGACACGGUCCAGACUCCUACGGGAGGCAGCAGUAGGGAAUCUUCCGCAAUGGGCGAAAGCCUGACGGAGCAACGCCGCGUGAGUGAUGAAGGUCUUCGGAUCGUAAAACUCUGUUAUUAGGGAAGAACAUAUGUGUAAGUAACUGUGCACAUCUUGACGGUACCUAAUCAGAAAGCCACGGCUAACUACGUGCCAGCAGCCGCGGUAAUACGUAGGUGGCAAGCGUUAUCCGGAAUUAUUGGGCGUAAAGCGCGCGUAGGCGGUUUUUUAAGUCUGAUGUGAAAGCCCACGGCUCAACCGUGGAGGGUCAUUGGAAACUGGAAAACUUGAGUGCAGAAGAGGAAAGUGGAAUUCCAUGUGUAGCGGUGAAAUGCGCAGAGAUAUGGAGGAACACCAGUGGCGAAGGCGACUUUCUGGUCUGUAACUGACGCUGAUGUGCGAAAGCGUGGGGAUCAAGCAGGAUUAGAUACCCUGGUAGUCC
RNAcentral lists this ribosomal RNA (806 nucleotides) under uncultured bacterium. Its description in RNAcentral is "bacterial SSU rRNA". It matches the Rfam family "Bacterial small subunit ribosomal RNA", at positions 8 to 796 of the family's 1533-position model. The record is from RNAcentral.